UGAAGGUUAAGCAUUAUCAAAGUUUUAUUUUUAAAAUGUAUUACAGAGGAACAGUAGUACAAUUUAAACAGAAAAAGGAGAAUUUAAUUUUGAAAACCUUGAAAAAACAUAUAAAGAGUAACCUGACUUGUUUUGUGUUUGGGGUUGAGCCCAAGAAAGGCCCAUUGGUUUUGCAUCACUGUAGUUUGAAAAGAGAGUUGAAAAAUACACCUUUUAAAAAAAGCUUGUUUCUGUAUUAGUGUUUUGUUUGUUUUGUCCAUUAUAGUACAGCAUAAUAAAAUCUAAAACAAUACAUCAUUUUGAGAUCAUCGGUGGUACAGUAAGGGAGUCAAAGGAUAGUAUAAAAACAAGAAACAGGGUGGUUUGAUGGAUAAGCACAGGUGUGAACACACACACACAGACCCAGAGAGGAGAGAGGAAGGCUAGGGUUGUGUUCAUUAGGGCACAACGUUGCAACACAUUUUGCAACGGAAAACAAAAACCAGUGUUUCUUAUUGGACAAGUACAGAUAGCAUAGCACCUCCCCGUUUCACUUGUUUUCCGUUUUGUGCCUUCUGAACGCAACCAAGACACGACACAAAGCCAGGCCAAGGUUUUAAACAAGCUAACUGCAGCGGACUGUGUUCCAUUAACUAAAAUCAACUAGUUACAUUUUUUUUCUUCCCACAGUGAUUUGAAGCUAAAUCAUAUUUUACAAACAGGGAUGAGAAACUUACUAUAGGUUUCCAUUAAAUACAUUUGCACUUUGAAAAAAGGGAGAUCAAACAUUUCUGUAUAAUUUUAGCACUUCAAUAUAUAUCCACUGCAUAUGGACAGAAACGGCUGUUCCUACAUUUCAAACAAUCCAUAUUUCUUAUAAAAUAUGUUCUUAAUGAAAUAAAAAGGAAAAGGAAAUACAUCUUUGUAAAGGACAAAUAAAACUAUAUAUGUAUCUAGGGUAAAGUGAAUGAUUAUUUUUUUUAUAAAAACAUUUAAAUCUGACGAUUACAUACACAAGCAAGGAUCUACAUACUAUAGAAUUUACCUGGCUUUUUUUUAAUACACCAUCUCAACAAUAAUAAACAUUUUUUUUGGGACAAACAGAUAGAAAUUAACAGUCUUGAUUGCAUUUUGGAGUCAAUAUAAUAUUAAAUAACAAAAUGUCUUAGAAAAUGUUCCGCAAGGAAGAGAAAAGACAGUUUUAAUAUUGUUCCAUUCAGACCUUCUUUGGGGAAGCAAAAAAAAGACAAAAUGAUUUUCAUGAACGCCAAAACAAUAAGUAAGUGCAUGUCUAUGAUGGCCAUAGAGCUUCACUUUAUAUCUAACAAAGUGUUUUCCUACCUGGCAGACAAAAUAAAAAGACUUAACAAAUUCAAUAAAAACUGAUUGUAAAAAUAUCAUCACUUUUGAAAAUGGAGUUUCUCUUUCAGACUUCAUAAAUCACAUAUUAUGAUCUAUCAGCACUCUUCAAAUACCACCUUACACCCAAUGUUCAAGUUAAUAAUAGCAUAUACAUACAUAUAUACUCAGUACCUAACAUAAACCAUGUGUAUA
This 1533-nucleotide long non-coding RNA is filed under the name Salmo salar (Atlantic salmon). Its description in RNAcentral is "lncRNA (ENSSSAG00000112396.1)". The record is from RNAcentral. Lineage: Eukaryota; Metazoa; Chordata; Actinopteri; Salmoniformes; Salmonidae.